CCUACGGGAGGCAGCAGUGAGGAAUAUUGGUCAAUGGGCGCUAGCCUGAACCAGCCAAGUAGCGUGAAGGAUGAAGGCUCUAUGGGUCGUAAACUUCUUUUAUAUAAGAAUAAAGUGCAGUAUGUAUACUGUUUUGUAUGUAUUAUAUGAAUAAGGAUCGGCUAACUCCGUGCCAGCAGCCGCGGUAAUACGGAGGAUCCGAGCGUUAUCCGGAUUUAUUGGGUUUAAAGGGAGCGUAGGUGGACUGGUAAGUCAGUUGUGAAAGUUUGCGGCUCAACCGUAAAAUUGCAGUUGAUACUGUCAGUCUUGAGUACAGUAGAGGUGGGCGGAAUUCGUGGUGUAGCGGUGAAAUGCUUAGAUAUCACGAAGAACUCCGAUUGCGAAGGCAGCUCACUGGACUGC
This 402-nucleotide ribosomal RNA is filed under the name uncultured Bacteroides sp. RNAcentral's name for it is "bacterial SSU rRNA". It matches the Rfam family "Bacterial small subunit ribosomal RNA", at positions 338 to 737 of the family's 1533-position model. The record is from RNAcentral. Lineage: Bacteria; Pseudomonadati; Bacteroidota; Bacteroidia; Bacteroidales; Bacteroidaceae.